This is a long non-coding RNA of Lolium perenne, 817 nucleotides long. RefSeq lists it as uncharacterized. The record is from RefSeq and is a predicted model, not a curated record. NCBI's taxonomy places the organism in Eukaryota, Viridiplantae, Streptophyta, Magnoliopsida, Poales, Poaceae.
AGUAGUAGAGAUUAUAUGGCUUAAGGUAACCAAACCUGAAAAGAUUUGUUCUUUGUAAUUUUGGACAACUGAGAUAUGUUCAGAUGCUAUUGAACACUCUGUAGCUGAACAGUUCUCACUUUCGCUGCUGUUGCUGCUAGACAACGGCUGAAUUUUGUUGAUGCUCCUCACAUUUGCAAUUAUUUGUUCGGCUCUACUUAGCCGCGAAGGGACGUGAACAUUAAUUCAUUAUGAAGAGCUGACAUUUGAGAAUGCCCUGAUCAACUAGCUGCAUAUACAGUAAUGUAAAUUUCAUUUUUGGUUUCACAAGCUGGAGAUGCUGAUUUUAUAUUCCUUGAGGAAAUAUGAAUGAACUAAAUCAAGUGGUCUAAAGUUAGUUUGGUUUCAAGAUUCCAAGGACAGGGAAAAAAACUUUGCUGACCAUGAUACCAAUGUACCUGUCGUAGAUGAUUCGUAUGCUGGAGCUUUAGUAGGCGGAUGGAGGUACCUCAUAUAAGGCGAAACUUGUUCUAGAGAACUAUUAUGUUAGAUUUCAUUGCAGAAGAGGACUGCCGCUUACCUUUUCCCUGAUUCUAUCACGAUACAGAUUCAUAUGUAAACUGAAUGCCAAAAGAGAGGACUGCCCCAUCGCACUCACUUGGUUGCUCAAAGUUGACGGAACUCUCUAUAAAUAUGUUGACGCCCUUUUCUCUUUCCUACAGCACUUGCAUUUUAAUUGAUCGAAGGGACAAUGCUUUUCAUGAUUAUUUCUGCCACUUUUCUGUAUGGCAAUGGCUUAGCCAUUUGCUCGAUCUAUGACUGUAUUAGUAAAUGCAAA